This 495-nucleotide ribosomal RNA is filed under the name uncultured bacterium. RNAcentral's name for it is "bacterial SSU rRNA". It matches the Rfam family "Bacterial small subunit ribosomal RNA", at positions 30 to 518 of the family's 1533-position model. The record is from RNAcentral.
UGAACGCUAGCGACAGGCCGUAACACAUGCAAGUCAGGGGCAGCACAAGGAGCAAUCUGAGGUGGCGACCGGCGCACGGGUGAGUAACACGUAUGCAACCUGCCUGUAAGCGGGGAAUAACCCGUUGAAAGACGGACUAAUACCGCAUAAUACUAAAUUACUGCAUGGUAAUUUAUUUAAACAUUUAUGGCUUACAGAUGGGCAUGCGCAUGAUUAGCUAGUUGGAGAGGUAACGGCUCCCCAAGGCAACGAUCAUUAGGGGUUCUGAGAGGAAGGUCCCCCACACUGGUACUGAGACACGGACCAGACUCCUACGGGAGGCAGCAGUGAGGAAUAUUGGUCAAUGGACGAGAGUCUGAACCAGCCAAGUCGCGUGCAGGAAGAAUGUUCCCUAUGGAUUGUAAACUGCUUUUGCAGGGGAAUAAAGUGCAUCACGUGUGAUGUUUUGUAUGUACUCUGCGAAUAAGGAUCGGCUAACUCCGUGCCAGCCGCUGC